AGACGGCCCUACGGGUUGUAAACUGCUUUUGUACCGGAAUAAACCUUUGGUCGUGACCAGAGCUGAAUGUACGGUAAGAAUAAGGAUCGGCUAACUCCGUGC
RNAcentral lists this ribosomal RNA (102 nucleotides) under uncultured bacterium. RNAcentral's name for it is "partial 16S ribosomal RNA". The record is from RNAcentral.